Molecule: ribosomal RNA, 470 nt
Filed under: uncultured bacterium
Lineage: Bacteria
Description: bacterial SSU rRNA
Rfam family: Bacterial small subunit ribosomal RNA
Source: RNAcentral
AGUUAACGUUGGCGGCGUGCCUAACACAUGCAAGUCGAACGCGUUCCGGGGGCAACCUCGGGAUGAGUGGCGAACGGGUGAGUAACACGUGGGUCAUCUUCCUUCAAGUGGGGAAUAAGCUCUCGAAAGGGAGUCUAAUACCGCAUGACGUUCCGGGAUGUCUGUCCCGUAAUUAAAGCCGCAAGGCGCUUGAAGAUGAGCCUGCGUCCUAUUAGCUAGUUGGUAGGGUAAUGGCCUACCAAGGCUCAGAUGGGUAGCCGGCCUGAGAGGGUGAACGGCCACACUGGGACUGAGACACGGCCCAGACUCCUACGGGAGGCAGCAGUGAGGAAUUUUGCGCAAUGGGGGAAACCCUGACGCAGCGACGCCGCGUGGAGGAUGAAGGCCUUCGGGUCGUAAACUCCUGUCAGAGGUGAAGAAUACCCGCAAGGUUUGACGGUAACCUCAGAGGAAGCCCGGCUAACUACGUG